ACUCAAAUGAAUUGACGGGGGCCCGCACAAGCGGUGGAGCAUGUGGUUUAAUUCGACGCAACGCGAAGAACCUUACCUGGGCUCGAAAUGUAGUGGAAUCCGGCAGAAACGUCGGCGUCUAGCAAUAGACCGCUAUAUAGGUGCUGCAUGGCUGUCGUCAGCUCGUGUCGUGAGAUGUUGGGUUAAGUCCCGCAACGAGCGCAACCCUUAUCUUCAGUUGCUACCAUUUAGUUGAGCACUCUGACGAAACCGCCUCGGAUAACGGGGAGGAAGGUGGGGAUGACGUCAAGUCCUCAUGGCCUUUAUGUCCAGGGCUACACACGUGCUACAAUGGCCGGUACAAACCGCUGCAAACCCGCGAGGGGGAGCUAAUCGGAAAAAGCCGGCCUCAGUUCGGAUUGGAGUCUGCAACUCGACUCCAUGAAGCUGGAAUCGCUAGUAAUCGUGGAUCAGCAUGCCACGGUGAAUACGUUCCCGGGCCUUGUACACACCGCCCGU
This 498-nucleotide ribosomal RNA is filed under the name uncultured bacterium. RNAcentral describes it as "partial 16S ribosomal RNA". It matches the Rfam family "Bacterial small subunit ribosomal RNA", at positions 899 to 1397 of the family's 1533-position model. The record is from RNAcentral.